Molecule: unclassified non-coding RNA, 365 nt
Filed under: Athalia rosae (coleseed sawfly)
Lineage: Eukaryota; Metazoa; Arthropoda; Insecta; Hymenoptera; Athaliidae
Description: misc RNA ENSAEAG00005003623.1
Source: RNAcentral
UGCCUAUUGUGGCGACGCCAGGUAGUUUUUUCAUUCCUCAACAUGAAACGGCAAAUGAUGGUGGCGUCGUUCAACGAAAUUACUGCGAGAAAAAGAGCGGUCCUUCGACGUUUGCGGUGAAUGACGUACGACCGGUUGAAAAGAAGAAAGUAAGGUUCACUCCGAAAAGACCGAGCAAUAUCGAGCAAAAGGCGGGAUAUCGUCAGACGAAAUUGGACGAUUUCCACAGUUUCAUGUUACCGGACUAUCGGCCUAACAUGUACUGAAAGGAAAUCGGGAUCGGGGUUGGUAUUUUUAGUGUGAUUAAUUGAAAGUAUAACAAUCGAGUCAUCACAUUACUAAUGAUAUAUUAUUACAUAGCACAA